This is a long non-coding RNA of Sebastes umbrosus (honeycomb rockfish), 242 nucleotides long. RefSeq lists it as uncharacterized. The transcript is spliced from 3 exons. Lineage: Eukaryota; Metazoa; Chordata; Actinopteri; Perciformes; Sebastidae. The record is from RefSeq and is a predicted model, not a curated record.
CACAGAGAGUUGACGACUGAAGACUGAAGCAGGACUGACUUCAGAUCAGAAGAUGAUUGACUGUGUGGAGGAAGAGGAGGACAGAGCAGAGUCUCUAGUCUCUGGCUGUCUGUCUAUGAAGAGUGAUCAGUCUAAAGAUGAACUUCUAUUCUUCAGUAAUGAAGCUGGACCCUCAGAGUCAAAAGUUCAGUCCAGACAGAGAGCAGAGUCUCCAGUACCCAGCUGUCUGUCUAUGAAGAGUG